UUGUUACCGGUUCUACCCGUCGCUUUUCCCUCUCCCCCCCCCCCCCCGAGGGAAAGCGAGACUGGGCUUUCCUGGAGGCUGAGGCUGGUCUCGGUCUCGCCAGAAGAGGCAGCCCGCGUACAGCGCCUCGCCCUGCCACUCACCCCACCGUCUGAGGCCUGCCUGGGCCCACAAUGCUCCCCCAAAGUUACAGCCCCUUGGUUGCUGAAUUUUUGUUUAUGCUGAAAUCUUGUACCCUGAACUCCUGACAUCACCAAAGCAAGAGUCUGUCCACGUGGCAAAAGAUAUGAAUUGCAGUAAUGAAGCCAGAAGGUUGCAAGUGUAUGCAUUGCUAUUGCUGGAAGCAUACGUGAUAGGAGGGGACACAGUCUUUUGGCCAGUAGUGGAUGAUCUUGAAAUAUCAGACAAGCUGUAUACUGAGAUACAUCAGAGAUGGAUUUACAACCUUAAAUUUACUGCCAUAAGAAUUAAUCUUGGCCACUUAAUAUUUUAACCUAUUUGUGUAUAAAUGUAAAUGGUUGUACUCAUUGCUAUAGUACCUCAAUUGUCAUGGCUUCUGGUUGCAAGCAUUCUUACCUAGCACCCCCUGCAAGCUAUCUGCCAUCCAGCUUGGAAAUUACCUAAUUCCAACCUCUUCCAGGGUAACAAAAUAUCAAAGUGUAGUCCAAAGUCCCAAAGAAUCAGCCUAGCUUCUGGGCCCUGUUCUCAAGCCCUUCCUGGGAUUUCAUUGGAGUCCUUUUCUCCACUUUGGUAUUGAGUACUGUCCCUAUUCAGCCUAAGUCUUUGGGAGGCCUCUAGCUUCUAACAGUCUUAAGCCAGAGAGCAGAUUUGUGUGAUAGGCCUACUUUCCCCAGACUGAACUCUUAGCCCAUUUAUGAGGCCUUAGUGCUGGGGUAGGCAACCUAUGGCACACGUGCCAAAGGCGGCACGCGAGCUGAUUUUCAGUGGCACUCACACUGUCCGGGUCCUGGCCAGUCCGGGGGGCUCUGCAUUUUAAUUUAAUUUUAA
This is a long non-coding RNA of Chrysemys picta bellii (western painted turtle), 1008 nucleotides long. RefSeq lists it as uncharacterized. The record is from RefSeq and is a predicted model, not a curated record. NCBI's taxonomy places the organism in Eukaryota, Metazoa, Chordata, Testudines, Emydidae.